Molecule: ribosomal RNA, 253 nt
Filed under: uncultured bacterium
Lineage: Bacteria
Description: partial 16S ribosomal RNA
Rfam family: Bacterial small subunit ribosomal RNA
Source: RNAcentral
UACGUAGGUGGCAAGCGUUGUCCGGAAUUAUUGGGCGUAAAGAGCUCGUAGGUGGCCUGUUGCGUCCGCUGUGAAAACUCAGGGCUUAACCCUGAGCCGGCAGUGGAUACGGGCAGGCUAGAGGUAGGUAGGGGAGAAUGGAAUUCCUGGUGUAGCGGUGAAAUGCGCAGAUAUCAGGAGGAACACCGGUGGCGAAGGCGGUUCUCUGGGCCUUACCUGACACUGAGGAGCGAAAGCGUGGGGAGCGAACAGG